GUAUUAAUUGUUUUCUCUGAGUUGUCUUUUAAAUAAGUCAAAACUUUCAACAACGGAUCUCUUGGUUCUGGCAUCGAUGAAGAACGCAGCGAAAUGCGAUAAGUAAUGUGAAUUGCAGAAUUCAGUGAAUCAUCGAAUCUUUGAACGCACAUUGCGCCCGCUAGUAUUCUAGCGGGCAUGCCUGUUCGAGCGUC
RNAcentral lists this ribosomal RNA (194 nucleotides) under uncultured Ascomycota. Its description in RNAcentral is "5.8S ribosomal RNA". The stretch from base 42 to 194 matches the Rfam family "5.8S ribosomal RNA". From Rfam's summary of the family: 5.8S ribosomal RNA (5.8S rRNA) is a component of the large subunit of the eukaryotic ribosome. It is transcribed by RNA polymerase I as part of the 45S precursor that also contains 18S and 28S rRNA. Functionally, it is thought that 5.8S rRNA may be involved in ribosome translocation. Lineage: Eukaryota; Fungi; Ascomycota. The record is from RNAcentral.